CAGGACAGCCUGUGCUACACAGAAAAAUCUUGUCUCAAAAACCUAAAACCAAACAAACAGAAGGACAGGAUAUCAUGUAGCCCCAGGUUAGCCUUAAACCCAGCAUGCAGCUGAGGCUGGCAUUGAAUUCCUGAUCCUCCUGCUUCCACUUCCUGAAUGCUAGGACUAUAAAUGUGGGUACCUUGCUUUGUCGCUGGCAAGCUGCUCAGGAGAGGCAGAACACAGUCCGUGAUAAGAGUCCCAUCCCAUGUUUCCCGGAUAAGAAACAGUGGGGUCUAGGACAGACACUGUGGUUCCUGGCCUCCUGUGUACCCAAGAGACCUUGGGGAACUUGAGGAGUUGGGAAUGGGGUCUGUGUCUCCUCUACCCACCAUGCAGGAAGGGGAGGGCUGAGCCUAGGACUGGGGUGAAAUCCAGUUUGGUUCCAAGUGAAUGUCAAGAGUAUGGAGGGACCAGAAGAGAGAAGGCCUUCUACCGGAGAUGUAGUCUUGGCUCUUUAGGAUGAAGGUCUCGUGCCUUGUAGAUCUUUGAAGAAGGAGAGGGUCCUUGCUUGGCCAAACUGCUUUAUUUGAUGGGGGAAUAAGAAUGCAUACAUCUUACUCAGGGUGAACCAGGGAUUAAAUGCCUUUUUCAGGAAGGAGUGCCCAGGAAGGGAAGUUCAUUGGCUGAAUGCUGAUACCUCAUUAUCAUGGAGAACGGCAGGUGUCUGUGCUUCGCAGACCUACUGUCACAGGCCUCUUAGUGGGGUGUCAUGAUAACACGUCCCAGAUCAGAUCAGGUAGUUUGGUGGGGAGCUGCCCUCACGCCUACUGUUCUCAAUUCUGAGAUUUCCAGGGGCACGGUCCACUUGCCCCACAAUGCUUGGGUUUCCCCACAACCCGUGUGUGUGUGUGUGUGUGUGUGUGUGUGUGUGUGUGUGUGAGAGAGAGAGAGAGAGAGACAGUCUCACUCUAUAGCCCAGGAUGGCCUGCAAUUCAGUGUCUAGACUAAGUUAGCCAUGGUGGUGGCUUCCCAUACAUUCCUCUAGUUCUCACCUUUCCGGGGCAGCAGGAGAGAUCUAGUUCAUUCUUUAUCCCCCCCUCCCUCCUCCCCCCCCCUCUCUCUCUACACACACACACACACACACACACACACACACACACACAGAGUAGCAUAGGUGGUCUGUUCCUUUCAUUUCAGCACUUGGGAGUCAGAGGCUGGCCUAUGAGUUGGACGAUCAGUCUGAUCUGCACAGGAAAUUCCAGGCGAGGCGGGGCUACAGAAUGAGACCCUGUCUCUCAAACAAAUCAAACCAUCAAGCUGUACAACAAUCCUAUAGCAAAGGGAAAAGGAUCACAGACACACACUACUGCACCUGGUGUCUCACAUGGAUACUGCGGAUCCCAAGUCUGGACAACGCUCGUAACUGACUGGGUCAGCCCUUUCCGGCUUUGCUCCACCCCUGGCUUCUAGCACUUUCAGAGCUUUACACUCUUCUGUGAACAGUCACUUGUCUUUGUCUACGAAUAAACCUUUAUAUUGCAUUA
Long non-coding RNA from Mus musculus (house mouse), 1526 nucleotides. RefSeq annotates it as predicted gene, 39963. The record is from RefSeq and is a predicted model, not a curated record. Lineage: Eukaryota; Metazoa; Chordata; Mammalia; Rodentia; Muridae. The transcript is spliced from 2 exons.